AAUGAACGUUGGCGGCGUGGAUUAGGCAUGCAAGUCGAGCGCUCAUAGCAAUAUGGGAGCGGCGAACGGCGUAGUAAUACGUAGGAACGUACCCUCGGGUCGAGGAUAGCUAUGGGAAACUGUAGGUAAUACUCGAUAACCUCUGCGGAGCAAAGGUGUGAUUCCGCCCGAGGAGCGGCUUACGCGAUAUUAGCUAGUUGGUAGGGUAAUGGCCUACAAGCGAUGAUGUCUAGGUGGUGUGAGAGCAUGGCCCCCACCGACCGGAACUGAGAUACUGUCCGGACACCUACGGGUGGCUGCAGUCGAGAAUCUUCCGCAAUGGACGAAAGUACUGACGGAGCGACGCCGCGUGCGGGAGUGAAGGCCCUUGGGUUGUAAACCGCUGUCAGAGGGGAGUGAAAUCUUCGGAGGUACUCCUCCGAAGUUGACAGAGCCUCAAAGGAAGCACGGGC
This 452-nucleotide ribosomal RNA is filed under the name uncultured bacterium. Its description in RNAcentral is "bacterial SSU rRNA". It matches the Rfam family "Bacterial small subunit ribosomal RNA", at positions 29 to 497 of the family's 1533-position model. The record is from RNAcentral.